Molecule: ribosomal RNA, 501 nt
Filed under: uncultured bacterium
Lineage: Bacteria
Description: partial 16S ribosomal RNA
Rfam family: Bacterial small subunit ribosomal RNA
Source: RNAcentral
AUUGAACGCUGGCGGCGUGCCUUACACAUGCAAGUCGAACGGCAGCACGGGUGCUUGCACCUGGUGGCGAGUGGCGAACGGGUGAGUAAUACAUCGGAACGUACCUUAUCGUGGGGGAUAACGCAGCGAAAGCUGUGCUAAUACCGCAUACGCCCUGAGGGGGAAAGCGGGGGAUCGAAAGACCUCGCGCGACUAGAGCGGCCGAUGCCUGAUUAGCUUGUUGGUGGGGGAAAAGCCCACCAAGGCGACGAUCAGUAGCUGGUCUGAGGGGACGCUCAGCCACAAUGGGAUUGAGACACGGCCCAGACUCCUACGGGAGGCAGCAGUGGGGAAUUUUGGAAAAUGGGGGCAACCCUGAUCCAGCAAUGCCGCGUGAGUGAAGAAGGCCUUCGGGUUGUAAAGCUCUUUUGUCAGGGAAGAAACACCGGCUCUAACACAGUCCGGGAAUGACGGUACCUGAAGAAUAAGCACCGGCUAACUACGUGCCAGCCGCCGCCGUAA